Molecule: ribosomal RNA, 497 nt
Filed under: uncultured bacterium
Lineage: Bacteria
Description: partial 16S ribosomal RNA
Rfam family: Bacterial small subunit ribosomal RNA
Source: RNAcentral
GAUGAACGCUGGCGGCGUGCCUAAUACAUGCAAGUCGAGCGAACAGACGCGGAGCUUGCUCCUCUGACGUUAGCGGCGGACGGGUGAGUAACACGUGGAUAACCUACCUAUAAGACUGGGAUAAAUUCGGGAAACCGGAGCUAAUACCGGAUAAUAUAUUGAACCGCAUGGUUCAAUAGUGAGAGACGGUUUUGCUGUCACUUAUAGAUGGAUCCGCGCCGCAUUAGCUAGUUGGUAAGGUAACGGCUUACCAAGGCAACGAUGCGUAGCCGACGUGAGAGGGUGAUCGGCCACACUGGAAGUGAGACACGGUCCAGACUCCUACGGGAGGCAGCAGUAGGGAAUCUUCCGCAAUGGGCGAAGGCCUGACGGAGCAGCGCCGCGUGAGUGAUGAAGGUCUUCGGAUCGUAGAACUCUGUUAUUAGGGAAGAACAAAUGUGUAAGUAACUAUGCACGUCUUGACGGUACCUAAUCAGAAAGCCACGGCUAACUACGUG